UACGUAGGUGGCGAGCGUUGUCCGGAAUUACUGGGCGUAAAGGGCGUGUAGGCGGUUUUUUAAGUCAGACGUGAAAACCCUGGGCUUAACCCAGGACCUGCGUUUGAAACUGGAGAACUUGAGGACCGGAGAGGGUAGUGGAAUUCCCAGUGUAGCGGUGAAAUGCGUAGAUAUUGGGAGGAACACCAGUGGCGAAGGCGACUGCCUGGACGGCACCUGACGCUGAGGCGCGAAAGCUAGGGGAG
This 245-nucleotide ribosomal RNA is filed under the name uncultured bacterium. RNAcentral describes it as "partial 16S ribosomal RNA". It matches the Rfam family "Bacterial small subunit ribosomal RNA", at positions 524 to 768 of the family's 1533-position model. The record is from RNAcentral.